CUCGUCUGUCCAACUCACCGAGGUCCAUGUAGAUAAUACCGCAAUUAAUUACACGGUGAUAACGAUGCUGAUUAGUAACAAAGGCUCCUAUUCGUUCUCUUAUCGAGCACGGAUUACGGAUUGUCCACAAGGAGUUCCGGUAUCAUGGUUGAACGCCGAGAGCGCGACAAAGACAAUCUCGUCCCAUCGUGAUCGUAAAGUAGCUUUGAGUCUCACCGGCAGACUCUCGUUAAAUGAAUUCUCUUGCUCCGUAAUACUCUUGAGUCGUUACGACGAGCCAGUAGCAUGGAGGGAGAUAAAAGUACGAAAAAUGGAUCGUUGCUCUUGCGUGGGACACU
RNAcentral lists this unclassified non-coding RNA (338 nucleotides) under Bombus terrestris (buff-tailed bumblebee). RNAcentral describes it as "misc RNA ENSBTSG00005029254.1". The record is from RNAcentral. Lineage: Eukaryota; Metazoa; Arthropoda; Insecta; Hymenoptera; Apidae.